ACUACAGCUUGGCACUGAACAUUGACCCUACAUGUGUAGGAUAGGUGGGAGACUUUGAAACGCAGACGCCAGUUUGCGUGGAGUCGUCCUUGAAAUACCACCCUUGUAGUGUUGAUGUUCUAACUUAGCCCCAUUAUCUGGGGUGAGGACAGUGCCUGGUGGGUAGUUUGACUGGGGCGGUCUCCUCCCAAAGAGUAACGGAGGAGCACGAAGGUGGGCUAAUCACGGUCGGACAUCGUGAGGUUAGUGCAAUGGCAUAAGCCCGCUUAACUGCGAGAAUGAUGGUUCGAGCAGGUGCGAAAGCAGGUCAUAGUGAUCCGGUGGUUCUGUAUGGAAGGGCCAUCGCUCAACGGAUAAAAGGUACUCCGGGGAUAACAGGCUGAUACCGCCCAAGAGUUCAUAUCGACGGCGGUGUUUGGCACCUCGAUGUCGGCUCAUCACAUCCUGGGGCUGAAGUCGGUCCCAAGGGUAUGGCUGUUCGCCAUUUAAAGUGGUACGCGAGCUGGGUUUAGAACGUCGUGAGAC
Molecule: ribosomal RNA, 525 nt
Filed under: Photobacterium damselae
Lineage: Bacteria; Pseudomonadati; Pseudomonadota; Gammaproteobacteria; Vibrionales; Vibrionaceae
Description: partial 23S ribosomal RNA
Rfam family: Bacterial large subunit ribosomal RNA
Source: RNAcentral